Molecule: long non-coding RNA, 1104 nt
Organism: Eurytemora carolleeae
Lineage: Eukaryota; Metazoa; Arthropoda; Copepoda; Calanoida; Temoridae
Exons: 6
Source: RefSeq, a predicted model, not a curated record
UUAAACAUUUUAAUUUCAAACCAAUUUAAUUUCCAUGCUUGGAAAUUUGAAUAUAAAACUUUUUAUAUUUUAUAUCUGAAUGUUUCAGAUAUUAUGCAUGGCGCGUUUUAAGUACUGUGUCCAAGAAACUGCGGAUAGGAUGUUAACCUUCUGCAAUGUUUGAUCCUUAGUAAACAUAAAUCUGAAGUUAUAGCAACUACUGACGAUCUACACCUCUACCUAUACGUCCUUGCAGUCUCUGUGGCAUUUUAGAGACUGAAGGAGCGUGUAGAGUGUGACCGGCUGAUCGAGCUCUCAGCUUUAAGUAUAUAGGUAUAUACAUAUACUUUAAAAUGCAUUCAUCUAACAUUUUUCACACCUUUCAGUUAAUAGAAAAAAGACUUUAAAACCUUUUCUCUAGAACCUGAAUUGCAUGGAGACGAGUUUCCCUGCAGACCCUUCUAGCGAAGUCGUACUAAACUUCGCUCAACGGAUCCUGUUUAUUGUGAAUCCACCACAGAUCGCUGGGUGUGAGCGAUCCUGAUCUCUAUAGGUUGUCAUGCUACAAAAUGAUCCUAUAGACGUCGACUAUCAACCAUGAAGCAAGCUUUAAACCUGUGAACAUGACUAUCUCUCUUGUAACUGGAUAAUGUCCGUAAUUUAUCACCUGAUUAGAGGAUAAAUAAAUACAUAAACUAUUUUGGAGUUAUCUUCUAUACCUCGAGUUAUAAAGAGGAGUUAUUAUACCACGGUACAAUCAAAAUCUUCAGCACGUCCAUGAGACACGUGCGACCCACGAAGUGAGAGAUAACAGUCAUUUAAAGAUACACUUUGAAACCCUAUAAACCCUAAAGUCUCACAAAUCCCUUUCAAUGAUUUCCCCCUUUUUGAGUAUAUAUAUAUAUAGAAUUUAACACAAAUGUUGAUUGGAGGAUGCAAUGUUGAAAAAUACCCUCAUGGAAUAUGAAGUUAGAAGAUUUUUUUUUUAAAUUAGAUGAUUAAAAAUGUUAUAAUGAAAGAGUGAAAUACUUCCGGUUCUUAAUCCCCAAAUCUCAUUAUUUACUUCUGAAUCUGAUGCAGUGCUAAUGAUAACCUUGAUUGUAAAGGUAAUAAGAAAAUUCAUAU